UACGUAGGGUGCAAGCGUUGUCCGGAAUUAUUGGGCGUAAAGAGCUCGUAGGCGGUCUGUUACGUCCGCUGUGAAAACCCAGGGCUUAACCCUGGGCUUGCAGUGGAUACGGGUAGACUAGAGGCAGGUAGGGGAGAAUGGAAUUCCCGGUGUAGCGGUGAAAUGCGCAGAUAUCAGGAGGAACACCGAUGGCGAAGGCAGCUCGCUGGGACGGUACUGACGCUGAGGCGCGAAAGCGUGGGGAGCGAACAGG
RNAcentral lists this ribosomal RNA (253 nucleotides) under uncultured bacterium. Its description in RNAcentral is "partial 16S ribosomal RNA". It matches the Rfam family "Bacterial small subunit ribosomal RNA", at positions 524 to 776 of the family's 1533-position model. The record is from RNAcentral.